Molecule: long non-coding RNA, 569 nt
Organism: Perognathus longimembris pacificus (Pacific pocket mouse)
Lineage: Eukaryota; Metazoa; Chordata; Mammalia; Rodentia; Heteromyidae
Exons: 3
Source: RefSeq, a predicted model, not a curated record
UGUUGUGACACUGAGCAUAACACACAAAUUUGAAAAUCCUAAUGUGCUCAUGAGAUUUUCCUGCAUGUUUAGGACACAGAAACGCCAAAUACACAUUGCUUAUCCUUGAGAGGGAGAGGCUUGGAAUCAGGUACAAGAACAUCUGAAUGUUGCAAAGAGAGAGUAAAGCUGGAAGUCUGGAAAUUUCUUUUUUGUCUCGAAAGUUGAUGUGGAAAAGGUUUCACUGGAUGGGCUCAUCAGGAGGGACAGAGCCCAUAAAUGGGAUGGGUCGCAUUCAACAGGCAGGAAUGAGGUGACAGGAUUGCAGAGGGUAAGAGCAAACCAACAGGCCAAAAAUGGAGGAGAGUCAGAGAGAAAUAAGGGUGGAAAUUUUCUGCCAUACUAUGUGGUAACUGAAUGACUGGGGCAAUUCUACAUGGAUUGGAACUAUGCCACACUCUGCAGGCCACUGUGUUCCCUGAAACCACCUGACCAAUUCCUUCACUGUGCUCUAGGCUAGGGAGACCUGAAAAUGCCUCUUCACAUGGCCAAAGCAGCACAGGUAAAACUACGGAGAGCCCAGAGGGCCA